GAUGAACGCUGGCGGCGUGCCUAAUACAUGCAAGUCGAGCGAACAGACGAGGAGCUUGCUCCUUCGACGUUAGCGGCGGACGGGUGAGUAACACGUAGGUAACCUACCUAUAAGACUGGGAUAACUUCGGGAAACCGGAGCUAAUACCGGAUAAUAUUUCGAACCGCAUGGUUCGAUAGUGAAAGAUGGCUUUGCUAUCACUUAUAGAUGGACCUGCGCCGUAUUAGCUAGUUGGUAAGGUAACGGCUUACCAAGGCAACGAUACGUAGCCGACCUGAGAGGGUGCUCGGCCACACUGGAACUGAGACACGGUCCAGACUCCUACGGGAGGCAGCAGUAGGGAAUCUUCCGCAAUGGGCGAAAGCCUGACGGAGCAACGUCGCGUGAGUGAUGAAGGUCUUCGGAUCGUAAAACUCUGUUAUUAGGGAAGAACAAACGUGUAAGUAACUGUGCACGUCUUGACGGUACCUAAUCAGAAAGCCACGGCUAACUACGUG
RNAcentral lists this ribosomal RNA (497 nucleotides) under uncultured bacterium. Its description in RNAcentral is "partial 16S ribosomal RNA". It matches the Rfam family "Bacterial small subunit ribosomal RNA", at positions 28 to 507 of the family's 1533-position model. The record is from RNAcentral.